UGGUUUAGACCGUCUCUACAUAUACUAAGGGUAAAAAAGGAAACAUAAAUGAAGUGAAUAGGUUUUAGAAAUACGAUUUACUCAAAAUCUUUUGUUCUCUCUGCUUCAGCCAUAAAUUUUAAAUGUUUUAGAAAUACGAUCUUUUGAAUUUUCUCUCAUCUUCUUCCAUUAAUGGAGCAUCUUGGGAUCUAGUUCGAUGGUGAAGAUCAAACGAAUAUCCAAGGAAUGUUUUUUUUAAUGGAUUUUUAGGUCAAAAUUGGAUCUGAAGCUAUAAUUUUUAGAUUGCCACAUGAUUUUUUCAUCAAUUGAGGUCAUUCAUCAUUUUAUUCAUAUCUCUUAGUGGCUGCUUUAUUACUUGAUUAGUUUCCUCCUACUUUUGACACUUUCAAGUAGCAAAGCUAAAUCAGGUGAAGGAUUUUUCUCAGCUGCUAUUUGUUGUCGAUUUGUUCUCCCUUUCGCUAUUCGUUGCCGAUUCAUUCUCCCUUUCUCUAUUCGUUGUCGAUUUGUUCUCUAUAUCUUCUU
This is a long non-coding RNA of Mercurialis annua (annual mercury), 522 nucleotides long. RefSeq lists it as uncharacterized. The transcript has 3 exons. The record is from RefSeq and is a predicted model, not a curated record. NCBI's taxonomy places the organism in Eukaryota, Viridiplantae, Streptophyta, Magnoliopsida, Malpighiales, Euphorbiaceae.